RNAcentral lists this ribosomal RNA (495 nucleotides) under uncultured bacterium. RNAcentral describes it as "partial 16S ribosomal RNA". It matches the Rfam family "Bacterial small subunit ribosomal RNA", at positions 28 to 507 of the family's 1533-position model. The record is from RNAcentral.
GACGAACGCUGGCGGCGUGCCUAAUACAUGCAAGUAGAACGCUGAAGGAGGAGCUUGCUUCUCCGGAUGAGUUGCGAACGGGUGAGUAACGCGUAGGUAACCUGCCUGGUAGCGGGGGAUAACUAUUGGAAACGAUAGCUAAUACCGCAUAAGAGUAGAUGUCGCAUGACAUUUGCUUAAAAGGUGCAACUGCACCACUACCAGAUGGACCUGCGUUGUAUUAGCUAGUUGGUGAGGUAACGGCUCACCAAGGCAACGAUACAUAGCCGACCUGAGAGGGUGAACGGCCACACUGGGACUGGGACACGGCCCAGACUCCUACGGGAGGCAGCAGUAGGGAAUCUUCGGCAAUGGACGGAAGUCUGACCGAGCAACGCCGCGUGAGUGAAGAAGGUUUUCGGAUCGUAAAGCUCUGUUGUAAGAGAAGAACGAGUGUGAGAGUGGAAAGUUCACACUGUGACGGUAUCUGACCAGAAAGGGACGGCUAACUACGUG